RNAcentral lists this ribosomal RNA (282 nucleotides) under Salmonella enterica. RNAcentral describes it as "partial 16S ribosomal RNA". It matches the Rfam family "Bacterial small subunit ribosomal RNA", at positions 1 to 279 of the family's 1533-position model. The record is from RNAcentral. Lineage: Bacteria; Pseudomonadati; Pseudomonadota; Gammaproteobacteria; Enterobacterales; Enterobacteriaceae. RNAcentral also lists the same sequence under 3 other names.
AAAUUGAAGAGUUUGAUCAUGGCUCAGAUUGAACGCUGGCGGCAGGCCUAACACAUGCAAGUCGAACGGUAACAGGAAGCAGCUUGCUGCUUUGCUGACGAGUGGCGGACGGGUGAGUAAUGUCUGGGAAACUGCCUGAUGGAGGGGGAUAACUACUGGAAACGGUGGCUAAUACCGCAUAACGUCGCAAGACCAAAGAGGGGGACCUUCGGGCCUCUUGCCAUCAGAUGUGCCCAGAUGGGAUUAGCUUGUUGGUGAGGUAACGGCUCACCAAGGCGACGA